AGCAACGUUAUUGUUUUGGCUUCUUAGGUAUAUAUUAUCAUAAGUCCGACUUACUAGAAAUAUAGCGUUCUCUCCUGAAAAGUGGUAACAAACCAUAUCGUACACGACAUAAAGAAGUAGCAAUCUUCAAAGUUCAAACUGAGUCGACUGGCUCUCAACUGCUUUUAUCGUUUAUCAUAGUUCUAAUAUAAACGUCUAUCAUGUUUGGAAAUGUAAGAGUUCUUUAAUUCGAAGGAGGAGUGACUUUCGAUGGAGGAGGAAUUUGCUACGUAUUUGCUAAGAAAACUAUUAGAUAAAAAUAUUUUUAACAGAAAACAUUUUAUGAGUUAAAAAAUGUUUUAACUCAUAAAACGGGUUUAAUUUCUCGCCUCGAAAUGAAAGUGUAAACGACUAGCAUUAAAACUUAUAUAGUUAUCAGUCAUAGGGUUCGUUGUUACCCCCUUUUCAUGUCUUUUGAAUGGAAUUAUUUUUACAGCGAGAUUAUUAUAUGGGAGUAACUAUGUAUUUACGUGUCGUGAUUCGUCUUCGUUCUUUCCGUGACGUGUAUGAUAGAGAAAGAUGCGCAGAAGGGAUGCAAGUGAGGUAGAACGUAAGAGAGAGGGAGAGUUAGGUAGAAAGAUAGAUAGAAAGAGAGAGAGAUAGAGGGAGAGAAAAGUUCUUUUUCGAUAAAUCUGUCGUUGACCUCAUAUUUUAGCUACCUGAUGCUAACCACAGCAUAGAAAGAUCUAUGAAAAACUAUUGCAGUUCAGAAUGUUACUCAAGUAACCGCUCAGGUGCAGAAUGAAAAGUUUUCGGCUGCUGACAAUACUUUAGCCCUUAUAUCGGAUGAAUGGGAGUAAAUGCGAAUAUCAGAAGUAGAGAUUUAUAUUUUAUAAAUCAUCAUCCACUACUUCAUGGAUCAAUUCUUGAAUCCCAAAUAUAUCUCAGUGUGCUCCGUCAUUCGGUGGGUUAUUGUCACAAAUUUGACUUCAACAACCCAUGACAGAUGAUAUAUAAUACUUAACAUGAAAGAUUGUUAGGUAUAGUUUGUUGACAAAAAAUUACGUUUUUAAUCGUUACAAAUGAAACGUAAAUGUUUGCAGCAACAUUAACAGAUUAUACGUCCGGUUAGAUUUCUUUAAAUGAUCUUUUUUAAUCAAUCAAAAUUACAUCGAGUAUAGUAACGCAACUCCAUACGUUUUACGUUUCAUGUAACAAGAACUGAUGCUUCGAAAAAGUACUAUUAUGGAUCCCAUUUAUAACGGAAACCAGUGAACAACACGCAUAUCGGGAAAGUGCUCAUAGCGAUUAGUGUCUUGACUCGAUUUAUGUUAUCGCAUAUUCUGAAAGAUUUUCUAGAGAAUAUCGACGAUAACAUGGAUAAUACCAUGUGUUAAAUGUACCAUAUAACCAGUAUUUUAUGUUUCUAUCUUCAACAUUAUUCGAAGCACUAUUUUUCAAUGUUCAAUACGUUUUUUCUAAAUGACGAUAUAAUCUUCCGAUCUCACUACACUUAACGACAAUAUCGAUUCGACGAACGAUUAUGUAUCAUCGCAAUAAGUUUCAGCUCAUCGAAUACUCCAGUUGUUGACAUUUCUACAAUAUUCCGUUGGUCCUAAUACUAUGAAAUCUGAAAACGUACUGACAUGAUUCUAAAUAUUAAUUUGUUCGUAUACGAAUAUUAUGCUCUUUUUUUAUUUCCGAUAGAUGGAAGAUCUUAGAAUUUUUCUUCUGUUCACAACCAUAUCCUGCAAUUCGAGCAUAGAAAAAUUUAAUAUGAACACAUAUGAACACAUUCAUUCUAUUACUGUGUUAAGAUUUUAUUGUUGUUGAUUCACACGGAAAAAUACCGCGAGAUUUUCUCGCUCGUAAAGAAGAUGCGUCACCGAGAGGCGAGAGAAUUUCACAGUUCUCGUAAUUUCGUCAGAGUCGUAAGAUAAACAGUAAACUCGACAUGGAAGUACGUGAUAUCGCAAAUCUCGAAGCGUCUAGUAACGAAAACGUGAUGAUAGGAUCAACGACAAGACUCCAAAUGCGAUACCAACGAACAGUGCGAGAAGGCUACUGUUUUUCUUCAAUGAUACGACUAGCGAUACCAAGACGCGCUACACGUUUUUAUACUAUUGUAUUUGCGUAAUGUAUUUGAAAUAUCAUACCUUCCCGCUAAUUCUUUUUAAAUAAAUUACAUUAAAU
This is a long non-coding RNA of Vespa mandarinia (Asian giant hornet), 2172 nucleotides long. The record is from RefSeq and is a predicted model, not a curated record. NCBI's taxonomy places the organism in Eukaryota, Metazoa, Arthropoda, Insecta, Hymenoptera, Vespidae.